UUAAAUAUUUUCUUAUUAUUUUUGUUUAUUUUUUAUUAUUUAAUUGAAGUAUCUUUUUUAUUUAGUAUUGGUAUUGAAAUAUUUCUUUAAAUUAUAGUUUAUUUUACUGUAAAGGUUAUUAAUAUUUUAAAUAAAAGUAUAAUUUUUUUAGUACCUUUUGUAUCAGGGUUUAUUAAUUUAUUUUAUUUAUUUAAUUAUCCCGAAAUUAAGAGAUUUAAAUUUUAAUGGGGUUUACUGUUUUAUAAUUAUUCUUAAUUUGAAUUUAGAGGUUAUAUGCUAUUCAUUCUUAAAUAUCUGGUUUUUUAAUAGAUGAAUUUAAUUCAGGAUUAUAGUAGUUAUUUUUAAUUUUUAUUAAAAAUAAUUUUAUUUUCUAAUAUUGUAGGGGAUAAUCUCUGCUUAAUAAUAUUAUAUUUAUUUUUAUUAACAAUUUUUGUAGGUUUAAUAACAUCCAUCUUUAUUUCGUUAUAGUUUUUAUUGUUUUAUUUUUUAUUUAUUUUUAAUUAAUUUUUUAUUAGAAUGAUUUAUUUAAUUAUCUUUUAUUAUGUAAUAAUGAUAAAAUUAGUAGUUUUUAAUAUUAAAUAUAGGAACUCGGCAAUAUUAAUAUUCGCCUGUUUAACAAAAACAUGUCCUAUAGAUUAUUAAUUUUAGGUCUAUCCUGCUCAGUGAUUUAUUUUAAAUAGCCGCAGUAUUUUGACUGUGCAAAGGUAGCAUAAUCAUUUGUCUUUUAAUUGAAGGCUUGUAUGAAUGGUUGGACGAGAUAUUAACUUUCUUUAUUUAAUUUUUAUGAAUUUAAUUUUUUAGUGAAAAAGCUUAAAUUAUUUUGUGGGACGAGAAGACCCUAUAGAAUUUAAGAUUAAUUUAUUAUAUUUAAUUAAUUAUUUGAUUAUUUUAUAUUAUUCUUAAUUUUUGGUUGGGGUGAUUAUAAAAUUUUCUUAACUUUUAUAUUUUAUUUUCAUUGAUUAGUGUUUUUAUUGAUCCUUUAUUAAGGAUUAUUAGAUUAAAUUACCUUAGGGAUAACAGCGUAAUUCUUUUGGAGAGUUCUUAUCGAUGAAAUGAGUUUGCGACCUCGAUGUUGGAUUAAAAUUUUAGUUGGGUGGAGGUGCUUAAUUUAUGGGUCUGUUCGACCUUUAAUUUUUUACAUGAUCUGAGUUCAGGCCGGCGUAAGCCAGGUUGGUUUCUAUCUACAAAUUUUAUUUUCAUUAUUUUAGUACGAAAGGACCAUUUAGUGGUAAUAAUUAUUUAUUAUUUGAUUUAUAUUAA
RNAcentral lists this ribosomal RNA (1260 nucleotides) under Kleidocerys resedae resedae. Its description in RNAcentral is "16S ribosomal RNA". The stretch from base 570 to 1260 matches the Rfam family "Eukaryotic large subunit ribosomal RNA", at positions 1891 to 3084 of the family's 3401-position model. The record is from RNAcentral. Lineage: Eukaryota; Metazoa; Arthropoda; Insecta; Hemiptera; Lygaeidae.